RNAcentral lists this transfer RNA (76 nucleotides) under Christensenellaceae bacterium. RNAcentral describes it as "tRNA-Thr". It matches the Rfam family "tRNA". Rfam says of the family: Transfer RNA (tRNA) molecules are approximately 80 nucleotides in length. The record is from RNAcentral. Lineage: Bacteria; Bacillati; Bacillota; Clostridia; Christensenellales; Christensenellaceae.
GCUUCUGUGGCUCAGUCGGUAGAGCGAGUGAUUCGUAAUCACUAGGUCGGCGGUUCGAUUCCGCCCAGAAGCUCCA